CCGUACCACAGACGAAUAUUAUUAUCACGUCAUACACGGACCUCGCGUUCCCCUUCCUUCUAGGGUCACACGUUUGUGCCGACAUCGCGUUAAAAAAAUGAGAUAGCCAAUAAGCCGAGCGUAAUGUUUUUUUUUUCUACGAUUGGACCUACACUAACUGCGCAGUACGUUUUCCCGCUUAACAACGCGUCGUUAUCUUUUUGUUAGUCUUGAGAUUCUCUCUCGCUCCGUCGCACCGUUUUAAACGCUUUUAAAUACGUCGUCUUUUUCCGUAACAAAGUAUUGCCCUCUGCUACUAUCGGCUCGUUUUUUUUUUUAUAGGCCAACGUCCUGCGUCUAUACCAAUAUCCAACAGCGGUUUAUACUAUCGACAACUUGCUCGAACAAUCGUUAAACCGUUUAUUUCAGAUUCCGAGCGAAGCGAUUGGUUCAACCGUAUUGACUUGAAAACUGUAUAGGAACUCGUUUGCAGGUUCGUUGCAGUUUACUUAACAAACGGCAAAAAACCAAUCGUUUUCGCAUACAUUUGGUCGAUAUCUGUGUUACUUCGACAACGGAAAAACUAAAACGACUGAUCAUAAUAUCACAUACUCUGCUUGUAACCGUUUACCGUCGCGUACGGACAUCAUUGCACUAUAAUGCAAUGUUGUCAGUAUAGCCCCGUCUUAGAACGGCGGCACGCGCGUCGGCUUCAGCUUUCGAUAAAAAAAAAAAAAAAAUAAUAAUAAUUCUAUUUCUAAAACCUAUACCGGGGUCGUCGAAAACGCGUAUUCGACACUUUACGCCGAUACACGCGUAUAUAUUAUGUUAUCUAACACACGCGGGCGAAUAACACGUUAGUUACAAUAAUAUACGUCACGAUAUUUAGGUCAAUUAAAAAAAAAAAAAAAAAAAAACCAAACCAAACCAUCAUUAUAUCCGCGAAUAAUUAUUUAUACGCGCUCGGCGAGCGUAUCGCAAUGGACAUUAAAUUACGACGAGUAGGUAUGUACGAGUACGGGUAGGUACACGCGAGUAUAAUAAUAAUACUAUACGGAUAGGUACCGUUUUAACAUAUAAUGUAUUACGAUAAUAUACGGCGACGUAUUAUUAUUCAAAUGAAUCGGUUUUGAAUUGCUGCGCGGCACCGUCGGCCGGCAACCCAUUCGGGUGAUAAAUUAUACGCGCCGCGUGCAAAUACGCGCGCGGUUGUAAAAUACCUGUAUCGCGGAUACGUUGUAAUAUUGCAGAUACGGGAGGUGGUGCGCUCUUUCGACGGUGUUUCGCGGCUGUUAAUCAAUAUCGCCAGCGCCGACGACUACAAACUGCGGAACGUUUUCGUACUACGCCGUGUCCGAACCACCGUACCCGUGACGCCCCGUGAUAAAUCGCGUACGGGUACGACCGUUGCGUACGCUGCGCGAUACUCGUCGAAAAAUAAUAUACGGCCCGCCGUCAAUCUCCUCCGUUAUUACGCCCGCGAAAAUUGUUACUCAAUAGCCGCGGCAUAACGUCACGAGCGCAGUACGUACGAUAAUACCGAUAGUAACAACACGCGCGGCACAACCAGUUUUCGCGGCGAGUCGAGGCCAACGCGACCGCAUCACGUUUGGUGUACAACCUUUGGGUCCCCGGGGUGAGAAGGGCUCGUUUCGGGUUUUCGGCAUUUUUUUUUUUUUUCUCAAAAAAAAAACAAAAAAUUUCGUCCGGUGUAAUUUUGAUUGUCGGUCUAAAUUAGACGUUUUUCGGAAUUCAAUCCGUUCGUAUUGAAAACUGUACACGUCAUAGUCGACUCGAGCCCUUAUUUUUCUCCGGCACCAAGCGUAUGUAGUAGGCUAGAGGACAAAUAAUAUUCGAACGCGUAUAUUACGCGCAAUAAUGUACCCGAACACUUUACUAUGCUACCGGACAACAAAAACCCGAUCGGUUACACAGGCUUAGAAUCACGCAGUGACCGACCCGACACGGUUUUUCCAUUAUCCCCUCCACUGGCUUAUCAAUUUAAACCAGUCGUGAUUGUUCAUCGAACAUGUUUCGGGUUUACACUUCGAACACAGUAAUUCUCUCGGAACAUUAUUGUCUAUCGGAUUUUUCGGAUCGACAGGUAUUCGUUACGCAGGUUGGCAUUAUUUUUUAUUUUUGGUGGUUUUCGGCGAUAAUGUCCCGCGACAUACCCUAUAGCCGGGAAUUAGGUUAGGUCGGUAAUUUUCGCACAUUUCGUUUACGAUGUACACGUACAUACAGUAACCGAUCGAAUACCCGUAAUUACUUCUUUGUUUUCGUCCGGUGUAUCCCGAACAAGUCAUUAAAUAAUACCUCUCUUCUCGGCCUCCGCAUCUCCCCCGCAUCAUAUCCGUCCGCGUCGUUUCUUCCUUCGCCCGUUCCGCGCGUCCUCGCGUCUCCGCUCCGAAAAACUACCGACUUUGCAGUUUAGCCGAUCGCCCACCGUCCGCAUCAUCUUUUGAUUUCGCCGCAACACCGCGACACAUAAGUAUAAUGCGCACUGUUCCCGUAAUGCAAUGUCCUUGUAUUAAUCAUAGACAUAUUAAUAAACGGACCGCGCUCACAGAAGGAAACGCGAAACCCAUAUUGAGUGAGAGAAACAGCGUUAAUUAGGGGCAGUCAUGGAAAGAACGAUUGAAUAUUUUAAUUUACACCAUGAAAUUAUUAUCGUUUAUCAGCGAACCGCUUUAAUUUAAUCUGUUACAGUAGAAAUAAUAACAAUACAUUUCACGGUGAAACAAAAAUUUAAAAGUCCACGGUCGCCCCAAUAACUAUCGCUGUCCUUCUCAUUCAAUAUCGUUCGCGAAAGCCAAUAGACGAGACGCGAGGAAAGCGCGGUCCGUUUAUUAAUAUGCCUAUGCAAUUAA
RNAcentral lists this long non-coding RNA (2849 nucleotides) under Cinara cedri. The record is from RNAcentral. Lineage: Eukaryota; Metazoa; Arthropoda; Insecta; Hemiptera; Aphididae.